GACGAACGCUGGCGGCGUGCUUAACACAUGCAAGUCGAACGGAAAGGCCCUUCGGGGUACUCGAGUGGCGAACGGGUGAGUAACACGUGGGUGAUCUGCCCUGCACUUUGGGAUAAGCCUGGGAAACUGGGUCUAAUACCGAAUAGGACCACGCGCUUCAUGGUGUGUGGUGGAAAGCUUUUGCGGUGUGGGAUGGGCCCGCGGCCUAUCAGCUUGUUGGUGGGGUAAUGGCCUACCAAGGCGACGACGGGUAGCCGGCCUGAGAGGGUGACCGGCCACACUGGGACUGAGAUACGGCCCAGACUCCUACGGGAGGCAGCAGUGGGGAAUAUUGCACAAUGGGCGCAAGCCUGAUGCAGCGACGCCGCGUGGAGGAUGACGGCCUUUCGGUUGUAAACCCUCUUUCAUAGGGACGAAGCGCAAGUGACGGUACCUAUAGAAGAAGCACCGGCCAACUACGUGCCAGCAGCCGCGGUAAUACGUAGGGUGCGAGCGUUGUCCGGAAAUACUGGGCGUAAAGAGCUCGUAGGUGGUUUGUCGCGUUGUUCGUGAAAACUCACAGCUUAACUGUGGGCGUGCGGGCGAUACGGGCAGACUAGAGUACUGCAGGGGAGACUGGAAUUCCUGGUGUAGCGGUGGAAUGCGCAGAUAUCAGGAGGAACACCGGUGGCGAAGGCGGGUCUCUGGGCAGUAACUGACGCUGAGGAGCGAAAGCGUGGGGAGCGAACAGGAUUAGAUACCCUGGUAGUCCACGCCGUAAACGGUGGGUACUAGGUGUGGGUUCCUUCCUUGGGAUCCGUGCCGUAGCUAACGCAUUAAGUACCCCGCCUGGGGAGUACGGCCGCAAGGCUAAAACUCAAAGGAAUUGACGGGGGCCCGCACAAGCGGCGGAGCAUGUGGAUUAAUUCGAUGCAACGCGAAGAACCUUACCUGGGUUUGACAUGCACAGGACGCCGGCAGAGAUGUCGGUUCCCUUGUGGCCUGUGUGCAGGUGGUGCAUGGCUGUCGUCAGCUCGUGUCGUGAGAUGUUGGGUUAAGUCCCGCAACGAGCGCAACCCUUGUCCUAUGUUGCCAGCGGGUUAUGCCGGGGACUCGUAGGAGACUGCCGGGGUCAACUCGGAGGAAGGUGGGGAUGACGUCAAGUCAUCAUGCCCCUUAUGUCCAGGGCUUCACACAUGCUACAAUGGCCGGUACAAAGGGCUGCGAUGCCGUGAGGUGGAGCGAAUCCUUUCAAAGCCGGUCUCAGUUCGGAUCGGGGUCUGCAACUCGACCCCGUGAAGUCGGAGUCGCUAGUAAUCGCAGAUCAGCAACGCUGCGGUGAAUACGUUCCCGGGCCU
This 1337-nucleotide ribosomal RNA is filed under the name uncultured bacterium. RNAcentral's name for it is "bacterial SSU rRNA". It matches the Rfam family "Bacterial small subunit ribosomal RNA", at positions 28 to 1381 of the family's 1533-position model. The record is from RNAcentral.